AUACGGAGGUAGCGAGCGUUAAUCGGAAUUACUGGGCGUAAAGCGCGCGUAGGCGGCUUUGUAAGUCGGAUGUGAAAGCCCUGGGCUCAACCUGGGAAUUGCAUUCGAUACUGCAGAGCUAGAGUAUGGUAGAGGGAAGUGGAAUUUCCGGUGUAGCGGUGAAAUGCGUAGAUAUCGGAAGGAACACCAGUGGCGAAGGCGACUUCCUGGGCCAAUACUGACGCUGAGGUGCGAAAGCGUGGGGAGCAAACAGGAUUAGAAACCCGAGUAGUCC
This 274-nucleotide ribosomal RNA is filed under the name uncultured bacterium. RNAcentral describes it as "partial 16S ribosomal RNA". It matches the Rfam family "Bacterial small subunit ribosomal RNA", at positions 523 to 796 of the family's 1533-position model. The record is from RNAcentral.